Long non-coding RNA from Dermacentor albipictus, 715 nucleotides. RefSeq lists it as uncharacterized. Lineage: Eukaryota; Metazoa; Arthropoda; Arachnida; Ixodida; Ixodidae. The record is from RefSeq and is a predicted model, not a curated record.
GUACCUACAUAUUGCCCUGGUGGGCAUUACAGUAGGGUGGACGAGGCAAAGCAAAGGAACACUUGACAUUAUUGUUCUGUCGAGGAUAAUACCACUUGCAUGGACAACAGCUGGUGUUGCUCUGACGAAGACAAGUCCAGUUGCGGCCGUGAGAACGACAAGCUACUCGUAUGGAAACAGUUGUUGCCCUGAUGAAGGCAAGACCACCUACCCGAGCAACAACUCCAGUUGGCACGAUUUCGUAGCGAUGCCUUCCGCUCGAUUGUAUACCACUUUUAUCAUCCACCGUUCCCCUGGCCGACUUACCUCAUUGUUAACGCGGGCGGAGAGUCUCUCUGAUCCCCGACGAAGUGCGAAGAAGAAUAACAUGCAAAGCGGCAUCGCUACUAAAUCGCUGCCCAGAAACAGCUGCAGCCCUGAGGGAGUCCAGUUCGCUCGCCAGACAGUUGAUUCCUUUGUUCGACCACUGCUGGUCACGUUGUAUGCACCUGUUCCUACAUUCGUUAUGCGGAUUCUGGAGUCAAGCCUACAACCUGUAGGAACCUGCUACACUGCUACAUACUGGAUCGCACCAUGAUGCACUUGACCUGCAUGCUUUUACAAGGUGCCCUGUGAGUUCUCAUCCAAGCACCGCAUUCCAGAGGUCUGCUGUGAGCAGACGUGGCAAAUUGAAGUAACAUGCAGAUAGUCCAAUAAACUACUCGUAAUUUCAGAC